RNAcentral lists this ribosomal RNA (484 nucleotides) under uncultured bacterium. RNAcentral describes it as "partial 16S ribosomal RNA". It matches the Rfam family "Bacterial small subunit ribosomal RNA", at positions 30 to 507 of the family's 1533-position model. The record is from RNAcentral.
AUUGAACGCUGGCGGCAGGCCUAACACAUGCAAGUCGAGCGGAUGAAGGGAGCUUGCUCCUGGAUUCAGCGGCGGACGGGUGGGUAAUGCCUAGGAAUCUGCCUGGUAGUGGGGGAUAACGUCCGGAAACGGGCGCUAAUACCGCAUACGUCCUGAGGGAGAAAGUGGGGGAUCUUCGGACCUCACGCUAUCAGAUGAGCCUAGGUCGGAUUAGCUAGUUGGUGGGGUAAAGGCCUACCAAGGCGACGAUCCGUAACUGGCCUGAGAGGAUGAUCAGUCACACUGGAACUGAGACACGGUCCAGACUCCUACGGGAGGCAGCAGUGGGGAAUAUUGGACAAUGGGCGAAAGCCUGAUCCAGCCAUGCCGCGUGUGUGAAGAAGGUCUUCGGAUUGUAAAGCACUUUAAGUUGGGAGGAAGGGCAGUAAGUUAAUACCUUGCUGUUUUGACGUUACCAACAGAAUAAGCACCGGCUAACUUCGUG